CGGGACGGGUGAGUAACGCGUGGAUAACCUGCCUCACACUGGGGGAUAACAGUUAGAAAUGGCUGCUAAUACCGCAUAAGCGCACAGUACCGCAUGGUACGGUGUGAAAAACCCAGGUGGUGUGAGAUGGAUCCGCGUCUGAUUAGCCAGUUAGCGGGGUAACGGCCCACCAAAGCGACGAUCAGUAGCCGACCUGAGAGGGUGACCGGCCACAUUGGGACUGAGACACGGCCCAA
RNAcentral lists this ribosomal RNA (236 nucleotides) under uncultured bacterium. RNAcentral's name for it is "partial 16S ribosomal RNA". It matches the Rfam family "Bacterial small subunit ribosomal RNA", at positions 100 to 334 of the family's 1533-position model. The record is from RNAcentral.